AUGGCUAUAGCAGAGUUUCUUUUAUUCGUAUUAACAGCUAUUCUAGGGGGAAAGUUUUUAUGUGGUGCUAACGAUUUAAUAACUAUCUUUGUAGCUCCAGAAUGUUUCAUUUUAUGUUCCUACCUAUUGUCUGGAUAUACCAAGAGAGAUCUACGGUCUAAUGAGGGUACUAUGAAAUAUUUACAAAUGGGUGGGGCAAGCUCUUCUAUUCUAGUUCAUGGUUUCUCAUGGCUAUAUGGUUCAUCUGGGGGGAUCGAGCUGCAAGAAAUUGUGAACCGUCUUAUCAAUACACAAAUGUAUAACUCCCCAGGAAUUUCAAUUACACUUAUAUCCAUCACUGUAGGACUUGGGUUUAAGCUUUCCCCAGCCCCUUUUCAUCAAUGGACUCCUGACGUCUAUGAAGGAGUAGACUACGAGUUCGUUGCUUUUCUUUCUGUUACUUCGAAAGUAGCUGCUUCAGCUUCAGCCACGCGAAUUCUCGAUAUUCCUUUUUAUUUCUCAUCAAACAAAUGGCAUCUUCUUCUGGAAAUCCUAGCUAUUAUUAGCAUGAUUUUGGGUAAUCUCCUUGCUAUUACUCAAACAAGCAUGAAACGUAUGCUUGCAUAUUCGUCCAUAGGGCAAAUCGAAUAUGUAAUUGUUGGAAUAAUUGUUGGAGACUCAAAUGAUGGAUAUGCAAGCAUGAUAACUUAUAUGUUGUUCUAUAUCUUCAUGAAUCUAGGAACUUCUUCUUGCAUUGUAUUAUUUGGUCUACGUACCGAAACUGAUAACAUUCGAGACUAUGCAGGAUUAUACACGAAACCUUUUUUGGCUCUCUCUUUAGCCCUAUGUCUCUUAUCCCUAGGAGGCCUUCCUCCACUAGCAGGUUUCUUCAGAAAACUCUAUCUAUUCUGUGGAUGGCAAGCAGGCCUAUAUUUCUUGGUUUCAAUAGGACUCCUUACGAGCGUUCUUUCUAUCUACUAUUAUCUAAAAAUAAUCAAGUUAUUAAUGACUGGACGAAACCAAGAAAUAACCCCCUAUGUGCGAAAUGAUAGAAGAUCCCCUUUAAGAUCAAAAAAUUCCAUCAAAUUGAGUAUGCCUGUAUGUGUGAUAGCAUCUAUUAUACUAGGAAUAUCAGUGAACCCAAUUCUUGCAAUUGCUCAGGAUACCCUCUUUUAG
Molecule: ribosomal RNA, 1155 nt
Filed under: Triticum aestivum (bread wheat)
Lineage: Eukaryota; Viridiplantae; Streptophyta; Magnoliopsida; Poales; Poaceae
Description: partial small subunit ribosomal RNA
Source: RNAcentral